UAAUGGUUUGGUCCUAGCCUUACUAUUAAUUUAGGUUAUAUUUAUACAUGCAAGUAUCAGCUAUCCAGUGAAAAUGCCCUUUUUUAUCAUGACAUAAACAAGGAGCAGAUAUCAGGCACCAUAAUAGCCCAAGACAUCUUGCUAAGCCACACCUUUACAGGAAUUCAGCAGUAAUAAACAUUGAACACUAAGCGCCAUAAAAGCUUGAUUCAGUAAUAACAUUAAAAGUCGGUAAAUCCCGUGCCAGCCACCGCGGUUAUACGAGAGACUUCAAUUAAUAGCCACGGCUCAAAGGGUGGUUAAAAACAAAUGAACAAAUGAACAAAUGAACAAAUGAACAAAUGCAAUAGAAUUAAAAGUUAAUUAAGCUGUUUUACGUAAUUAUUAACCAUAAACUCAAUGACGAAAGUAAUUCUAGAUAAUGACCCCACGAAAAUUAGGUUACAAACUAGGAUUAGAUACCCUACUAUGCCUAAUUGUAAACUUUGAAGCAUCCGCCUGAGAACUACGAGCCACAGCUUAAAACUCAAAGGACUUGGCGGUGCUCUACACCCACCUAGAGGAGCCUGUUCUAUAAUCGACAAUACCCGAUAAACCUCACCAUUUAUUGCCAAUACCGCCUAUAUACCGCCGUCGUCAGCUUACCCUUAAGGGAUAAAACAGUAAGCACAAUAAUAAACAUUAAAACGUCAGGUCAAGGUGUAGCGUAUUAAAUGGGAAGAAAUUGGCUACAUUUUCUACUAGAAAAUAACGAAAUAUUUAAUGAAAUUAAAUAUGAAGGCGGAUUUAGCAGUAAAAAGAAAACAGAGAGUUCUUUUUAAUUCGGUCCUGGAGCGCGCACACACCGCCCGUCACCCUCCUCAAACACCCAAUAAUAUUAUAUAAAUAAAAUUAAUUAAUAAGAAGAGGUAAGUCGUAACAUGGUAAGUGUACCGGAAGGUGUACUUGGUAU
RNAcentral lists this non-coding RNA (952 nucleotides) under Andrias davidianus (Chinese giant salamander). Its description in RNAcentral is "12S ribosomal RNA". It matches the Rfam family "Bacterial small subunit ribosomal RNA". The record is from RNAcentral. RNAcentral also lists the same sequence under 1 other name. Lineage: Eukaryota; Metazoa; Chordata; Amphibia; Caudata; Cryptobranchidae.